RNAcentral lists this long non-coding RNA (271 nucleotides) under Gossypium barbadense (sea-island cotton). RNAcentral's name for it is "long non-coding RNA (GBAR_LNC007065)". The record is from RNAcentral. Lineage: Eukaryota; Viridiplantae; Streptophyta; Magnoliopsida; Malvales; Malvaceae.
AAUUUAUAACCCAACAUAAAUAUAUCUAGUACCUAAAGCACUUACCACGAGUGAAAAUGUCACUUGUUGGGAAGGAAUAAUAGGCCUAACCCCUUGACUAUUGAGAUCGAGUCCCUAGCAACAAUCGGCAGAACCACAACGUUAAAUGACAAUCAUUAACAUGGAAAAAAGAAUGAGUGAGAAGGAUACAUUCGGGCCACAGAAAAAGAAAUCAAAAUUUCUUGAGAAGAAGGCUAACCAAUAUUCAGCCAAGACCCAAGCCUAAAAGUUG